AAGAAAAAAAACGAAAAACAAUUACCUCAAAAACGCUGUGCAAAUGUUGAAAUCCGGAAGCCAAUAUAAGUUAGGGGCUUCGAAAUUGGGUAAUAAACAAGUGUGAUGGAUAAAUUUUGAAUGAAUCGCAGCAAUUGUUGAAAAAAUGAGAGAGAAUGGAAAAGAAUUGCGGGAAAAAUGAAAACUGGGACUCUUAAAAAGGCAUUGUCGCUCUAGCGAGCCAUGGGCGAAACUCGAGCGAAAAGCGUUCUGCUUUUGUCACUCGAGCGAAGUCCAGGCGAGACUCGAGAGAAGUUCAAAUAUCAGAAAUAGCACUUAAAUUUUGAAUAUUGAGAAAAAGAACACAAUUAUCAAGAAAUGACGAAAUUAGCCCCAAAUCGUGUAUUUUCAAAAAUAAGACAAGUGCAGAGCAUCGGAAACUAAUAAAAAAAAACGAAGCAGGGGACCAAUUAUGUAAACUAUACCAAUAAUAAGCAUAAAGUCACAACCCCGACACUCAGCACAUAGACAAAUCGUAAGUCCACACAUAGUUCAAAAUCCCGUGGAGUAAAGUGUAUACAGAACAUCACCGUGAAAAGUGCCACGUAGUCCAUGCAAGUGAGACUCAAAACCUUAAAUUAGUGAGAAAGGACACGUGAAAACAACCAGACAGAGGUGUAUGUCUACCAAGUGACAGUCAAAUCAAAUUCCACGAGGACCUAUAUCAAAUAUUACGAUUGUCACAAUUUUACUCCCCCUAACUGUAUGAUUCCAUAUUUCUUCCCUUUUUUUUUCAACAAAAGAACUUAAGUGCAAUGCUAUCCCCAUUAGGCGACAUAAAUGA
RNAcentral lists this long non-coding RNA (823 nucleotides) under Olea europaea (common olive). RNAcentral's name for it is "long non-coding RNA (OEUR_LNC011608)". Lineage: Eukaryota; Viridiplantae; Streptophyta; Magnoliopsida; Lamiales; Oleaceae. The record is from RNAcentral.